UACGUAGGGACCGAGCGUUGUCCGGAUUCAUUGGGCGUAAAGAGCUCGUAGGCGGCCACUCAAGUCGAAUGUGAAACCUCGAGGCUUAACCUCGAGCCUGCAUUCGAUACUGGGUGGCUAGAGUCUGGUAGGGGGAUCUGGAAUUCCUGGUGUAGCGGUGGAAUGCGCAGAUAUCAGGAGGAACACCGGUGGCGAAGGCGGGUCUCUGGGCCGUAACUGACGCUGAGGAGCGAAAGCAUGGGGAGCGAACAGG
This 253-nucleotide ribosomal RNA is filed under the name uncultured bacterium. RNAcentral's name for it is "partial 16S ribosomal RNA". It matches the Rfam family "Bacterial small subunit ribosomal RNA", at positions 524 to 776 of the family's 1533-position model. The record is from RNAcentral.